Dermacentor silvarum is the source of this 591-nucleotide long non-coding RNA. RefSeq lists it as uncharacterized. The record is from RefSeq and is a predicted model, not a curated record. Lineage: Eukaryota; Metazoa; Arthropoda; Arachnida; Ixodida; Ixodidae. The transcript has 2 exons.
GAAAGAAAUUCAACAAGAGGGGACACUCGGCAAAAACUGGCAACAGGAAACACGUCACCAUACGUCACGCUAUACUUUUGACACCGAACGUUAGCUGCCGCGAGCAUCGAAAAAAAAGAAAGUGAACUUAAGUUAACAGGCAUUGAUUUGUUAUUUUAAUUCUUUGCCGCGAAAACUAAAACGUUUUGCGUAUAAAUGAACUUAAGCUUUGCGACUUAUUUUCCUUGCCUUACCUAGCCACAGGUCAAUGACGCGCCAGAUACAUGCGUCAUCCGCCAGACACUCCCCCGAAGCCAGCGAGGAUGGCUGCGCGCGCGUUUGAGCGCUCGCACGCGGCGACCCGUCUGUCUCCUUUUUUUCUUUUUUAAAUGUAACGUGGUUUACUGGGCUCUCGGCGUAUUCUUGCGUUCCUUCUGCACUGGGACAAGACACCACUGCACCAUUGGACUACGGCAAGCUGGUGCCGUCCGGUGGAGCUUCAUACAGGAACUACUGCCUUAUCUGCUGGUGUCACAACGUUGGAUGAACGCACAAAAAGCGCGGAACGAGCUUUUAUAUAGAGUAAAAUAAAUAUUUCCUCAUUGCACAAAA